UACGGACCGCACGAACGUUAUUCGGUAUUAUUGGGCUUAAAGGGCGCGUAGGCGGCCUGCCAAGUUGGGUGUGAAAGCCCUCGGCUCAACCGAGGAAUUGCGCUCAAUACUGGCGGGCUCGAGAGAGACAGAGGUAAGCGGAACUAAUGGUGGAGCGGUGAAAUGCGUUGAUAUCAUUAGGAACACCGGUGGCGAAGGCGGCUUACUGGGUCUUUUCUGACGCUGAGGCACGAAAGCGUGGGGAGCGAACAGG
This 253-nucleotide ribosomal RNA is filed under the name uncultured bacterium. RNAcentral describes it as "partial 16S ribosomal RNA". It matches the Rfam family "Bacterial small subunit ribosomal RNA", at positions 524 to 776 of the family's 1533-position model. The record is from RNAcentral.